Mycena filopes is the source of this 100-nucleotide non-coding RNA. The record is from the annotation of a GenBank genome assembly. Lineage: Eukaryota; Fungi; Basidiomycota; Agaricomycetes; Agaricales; Mycenaceae.
AGCAGCAUGGCGCAGAUGGAAGCGCGCGGGGCCCAUAUCGUCAGAUCAUUACGUAAUCUUCGAAACCCCGAGGUCACUCGAUCGAAACGAGUUGCUGCUA